This 253-nucleotide ribosomal RNA is filed under the name uncultured bacterium. Its description in RNAcentral is "partial 16S ribosomal RNA". It matches the Rfam family "Bacterial small subunit ribosomal RNA", at positions 524 to 776 of the family's 1533-position model. The record is from RNAcentral.
UACGGAGGAUCCGAGCGUUAUCCGGAUUUAUUGGGUUUAAAGGGAGCGUAGGCGGCCUGUUAAGUCAGGGGUGAAAGACGGUGGCUCAACCAUCGCAGUGCCUUUGAUACUGACAGGCUUGAAUGUAGUUGAGGUGGGCGGAAUGUGACAAGUAGCGGUGAAAUGCAUAGAUAUGUCUCAGAACACCGAUUGCGAAGGCAGCUUACUAUGGUUCUAUUGACGCUGAGGCACGAAAGCGUGGGGAUCGAACAGG